This 424-nucleotide ribosomal RNA is filed under the name Fusobacteriota bacterium. Its description in RNAcentral is "Fusobacteria bacterium partial 16S ribosomal RNA". It matches the Rfam family "Bacterial small subunit ribosomal RNA", at positions 355 to 776 of the family's 1533-position model. Lineage: Bacteria; Fusobacteriati; Fusobacteriota. The record is from RNAcentral.
UGAGGAAUAUUGGUCAAUGGGCGAGAGCCUGAACCAGCCAAGUCGCGUGAAGGAAGACAGUCCUAAGGAUUGUAAACUUCUUUUAUACGGGAAUAACGGGCGAUACGAGUAUUGCAUUGAAUGUACCGUAUGAAUAAGCAUCGGCUAACUCCGUGCCAGCAGCCGCGGUAAUACGGAGGAUGCGAGCGUUAUCCGGAUUUAUUGGGUUUAAAGGGUGCGUAGGUUGUUCGGUAAGUCAGCGGUGAAACCUGAGCGCUCAACGUUCAGCCUGCCGUUGAAACUGCCGGGCGUGAGUUCAGUGGCGGCAGGCGGAAUUCGUGGUGUAGCGGUGAAAUGCAUAGAUAUCACGAGGAACUCAGAUUGCGAAGGCAGCUUGCCAUACUGCGACUGACACUGAAGCACGAAGGCGUGGGUAUCAAACAGG